RNAcentral lists this ribosomal RNA (726 nucleotides) under uncultured bacterium. Its description in RNAcentral is "bacterial SSU rRNA". It matches the Rfam family "Bacterial small subunit ribosomal RNA", at positions 111 to 823 of the family's 1533-position model. The record is from RNAcentral.
UAACACGUGAGUGACCUGCCUUUUAGACUGGAACAACUUACCGAAAGGUGAGCUAAUGCCGGGUGAGUUAUAUAAGUGCAUGUUUAUAUAGGAAAAGUUGGGGAGACCUGACGCUGAAAGAUGGACUCGCGUCCCAUUAGCUAGUUGGUAGGGUAAUGGCCUACCAAGGCGACGACGGGUAGCCGGCCUGAGAGGGUGGCCGGCCACACUGGGACUGAGACACGGCCCAGACUCCUACGGGAGGCAGCAGUGGGGAAUUUUGCGCAAUGCUCGUAAGAGUGACGCAGCGACGCCGCGUGAAUGACGAAGGCCUUCGGGUCGUAAAGUUCUUUCGACAGGGAAGAAAAUGCCUAUAAGUAACUGUGUAUGUAUUGACGGUACCUGUAUAAGCAGCCCCGGCUAACUCCGUGCCAGCAGCCGCGGUAAUACGGAGGGGGCGAGCGUUGUUCGGAGUGACUGGGCGUAAAGAGCACGUAGGCGGUGUUGUAAGUCAUUAGUCAAAGACUAGAGCUCAACUUUAGUAAGGCUAGUGAUACUAUAAUACUAGAGUAUCAGAGAGGAUUGCAGAAUUCCUGGUGUAGCGGUGAGAUGCGUAGAUAUCAGGAGGAAUACCGUUAGCGAAGGCGGCAAUCUGGCUGGAAACUGACGCUGAGGUGCGAAAGCGUGGGUAGCAAACAGGAUUAGAUACCCUGGUAGUCCACGCUGUAAACGAUGGAUGCUAGGUGU